This 2254-nucleotide unclassified non-coding RNA is filed under the name Hevea brasiliensis (rubber tree). Lineage: Eukaryota; Viridiplantae; Streptophyta; Magnoliopsida; Malpighiales; Euphorbiaceae. The record is from RNAcentral.
GGAAAAUCCCAAUGAGUCAAAUUCCAAGUGUAUAGUUCUACAAUAUGAAAAUCAUCUUGCCUUGGAAUAGAAAGUAAACUUUAACCAAAACUUAGUCUCUCUUGGAUUGGUCAUCCCAUCAGCUUCAAAUUUGACAGAGAAGAAACUAUCUUUUAUGAUGCUGGAUGUGGAUGCUGCGAUCUGCUGGGUUAUGGCAAGAGUUGAGCUUUUGGUGUGUGGACUGCAGGGCAGCUUACUUGCUCCUCCUCUUAAUCUAAGUUUUGGUGGUGUUUACGCCUAAAUAUAAGUUUUGUAAUUUAUUUAUUGUAAUUAUUAUAAUAAGAAAUGAGAUUAGCAAUUUAUUAUUCAGUGUUAAUUAUGUUGCCUUGCCUACGAGGGCUCACCCGUGUAACUUCAGAUAUUUUUCACAUUAUCAAUAAUACAGCUUUUCCUCUCAAAUCGUUUCUGUCCACUCAGAAAGUGAUCGUCUCACCGAAUGUUGCACAGAACAAGAACAUAGAAGAGCGCAACUAGAAGUAAUGUUCCUAAACCAUAUCCUUCAGCAUCAAGGCGAGAGCUUUGUCGCUGAUUUGUAAAACCAAUGCAAACAAGAUAGAGCAGAAGCAGAAGUAAUGCCUUCAAUCCAUAUCCUUCAGCAUAUUGGGCACAGCUACUGCAGGUUUGAUGCCCUGAUGCAUAACCCACUCCAACCAGGUACAGCACAAGUAGAAGUAAUGCUCCCAAACCAUAUCCUUCUGCGUCCUGGGGACAACCACUGGUUUGCUGCCUUGUCGAACAACACAUGCCAUAACUUGUACAGAAUGUAGAAAUCAAGUUUACAAGCACAAACAGUAGAAGAGGAAGCAACACAAUAAACCUUGGACCAUAGACGAUCAAUCCUAGGACACCCAGCAUUAGAAAUGGCACCAAUGGUGAUGGCCCUCCACUAUUCUCCAUUGCUGUUUUGCUCUCUCCUGCUAAAGUGGGCAGAGAAGCACAAUGUUAUUGAGGAUUAAAGAGAUGGUGAUCUAAUUAUUUUCUUUGAUUUUGUGAUAGAAACAUCUAAUAUAUUUUACUUUAUAUAUAACAAAGAAUUGGAUUCAAGGCUAACCACAAGUAACAAACUCCAAAAUGAAAAUUUGUUUUCAAGCUUUAGAAAAGUUUGCAGAAUGAAGAGCACGUUUUUCUAUCUUUUACAUGUUUCUUAUCCUUGUUUUCAUAACAAAAAAUGGGUAUCAUGAAAACCAUAGAAAAGACGAUUUCUGGACUCUCUAGUAGUUGUUUUCACGCCAAUCCCACUCUCUUUUUCAUUUCUCUGCAAGAAGACAAGCAGAAAAAUUCUGCUUACAGGGAGUGACGUGGGUUAGUACAAUAUUCUCCUAAUUGUGUCAACUGUGAAUAUUUUUAAAACGCAACAAGAGCAAGCAGCAUAAUUUCCGGAAUCACCCGCUUUUCAUGAACCUUUUUGUAGGACAAAAUUCAGGAAUUUGAGCUGGAAGAACCUUCUAGGCUUCUACUACAGCAGAUCAUGGUAAAGAUGGAUAUCAUGUUAUGAUUGUGGAUGCAGCAAUAUGCUCUCUCUACUGAUUAAUCUGGUGUGGAGGAAAGGCUUCUCCUUCUCUCAUCCACUUAGCUUUUCAGGAUCUCUGCUUGUGAUGAAAAUUAGAUGGAGCUGUGGCUCCAGCUUUUGUACUACACAUUCCUUUUCUUCAAGAUUGGUAAAAUACAGCAUUACAGAACUCGCCCUGCAUUCAGUACCUGCACCUCAACCUUUAUAUCACCCAUAUCCCAUGCCAUUUGAAAAAUUAACACAGUCCAACAACAAAUUUUCCGUUUAGGAAAAAUAUUAUCUGAUUCAUAUUUUCAUUUGAUUUUGAAUAUAAAAUAUGCACUUGUAGACUUAGUUUAACAUAAAUAAUUUUAUAAUUAUUUAUAUAAUUAAUUCCUGAAUUCACUAAUUCAAUGUGUCAUUGUAGGAAACAUCCAAUUGACUACCAAGAACAUCAUACUGUCUCAUGCAAACAGGAGAGGGGGUGGAUUGAAACAAAGAUGAUAUUCAUUCAAAAUGACAGCAACUACAGUACUGGACAAGUUCUAAUCAUCUGCAAGUUUAAAUUUUGAGAAGUCAAUUGUAGGUAGAACUACAAAAUAUCUAAACAUACAAAAGGUACAAGACGAGAUACAGAUGGCCAUAAGAAAAUUGCUAGCUCUAAAUCACUGAACUAAUACAGCAUUAAUCAUCCUGCACUAUCUCCUGCAACUAUAGAAUUACAAC